CUGGUGUUUCGUUUUUUUUUUCCUUUUUCCUGAUUCUGUUAUCUGAUCCCGUAUGUUGUUGUUUUGUAGGUAUCCCUAAACGUUGAUCGGUAUUGUAAAUGCUUAAUGUUAUUUGAAUGAGUUCAAGGAAGGAGAUAAAUUUUUAUAAAAAGUUUGUUUUGUAGAUAAGAUGGAUGGCGACUUUAAAAUCAUAAGAAAAAUCCUUUGGUGCACCACUGUAAGGGCAGUACGUGAUCGUGAUGAAAUCAUUUUUUAAAAAUGUUGCAACCGCAAUUUUUGAUACAACUUACGGGUUUAACAAGGAUUUGGAAAAGAUCUUGAUUCGCUUAUACUGGAAAAUUUAGGACAAGGAAGUCAAUUUCUUUAAAUGAAGAUCAUCAGUCCAUCGAGGAGAGAGAAAAUAACUGGCAAAGAUAAGAAUUUCAAUUUUCAGAUAUAUGGCAACUUCUGAUUUGUUGAAUGAGUUGUCUAAAGACGGAUAUAAAGCGGAUCAUGAUCUAGAGUUGAAGAUUUCGAUGACCGUUCAAUAGAGAAAUAAAAGGAAAUGCCUCGAAAAGUUUGCAUCCUUCCAUAGUUUUGUUAGCGUUUUUGUUCAAUUUUCACUUAGUCACAGAACAAUACAAAAUCCGAUCAUAGUUAACGAAGGCAGCUUGAACAGUCAAACAAAAGCUAGAAGACAUUUUUUCGGUUGUAUUCCUAUACUUUUACAUGAUUUGUGUUCAUCUAAUUCAAGUUUAAUCUCAAUGACAAAGUCGAUUAUGUAUUUUUUAUGUAAAUGAAGUGUUAUAUAUCAUACGAAAGUAGCUUUUGUUGAGAAAUCAUCAAGCACAUUCUUCUCAAUUUAAGAAAUAAG
Molecule: long non-coding RNA, 853 nt
Organism: Papaver somniferum (opium poppy)
Lineage: Eukaryota; Viridiplantae; Streptophyta; Magnoliopsida; Ranunculales; Papaveraceae
Exons: 4
Source: RefSeq, a predicted model, not a curated record